CCCCAGCCUCUAUCCCGGCGCCGCCAUGGGCUGCGAGCUGCUCCUCCUCUCCUCGGUCUGGCUGCUCUUCGUCGUCUUCUGGAUGGAGACCCUCAGCGCCUGGCUCUUCCUCUGCCACCUCGCCCAGGACCACCGGGCCGCCUUCUUCUUCCACGGAGCGGGCGCGCAGCGGGCCUCGGGCACCGAUCCGCUCUACCCCUUCCACAUUUUCGUCAGGUGACCCUCACUCGGAGCCAGAGUCUUGUGCCCUGCGCUUCUCCACUGAGACACCUCUUCGCCCAAGGUGACCCCCAAAGGUUGGAAACCCCCGAAGGAAAAGAAUCUUCAUCAACACUUCAACAGCUGGAUUUCAGGCUGAUCUCCUCCAGGAGGUCAUCCUUUGCUGUAGCUGCAUGCCUCUCUCCCUCCCAAGAGGAGAAAGCAUGGUUUCUGCAGAUGGGUCCAUAUUCUCUCCCCUGGAGUCAGCCAGGGUGAACACAGCCUUGCUUCCUUGUGCUGGACCGGCCAGUUUGGGAUCCAACGUAUGCAGCAGGAGGAGGAGGAAGACCACCGCAGCUCAGCCAAAAGAUGGUCAGUGGCAGCCACCUGAACAGUGAGGAAGGAGGACUUGGCCUCUGGCAAAUGAAUGGAUCCUGCUUUUGGUGGUGGUGUUUCGAAGACCAGCUCACCUGGCGAAAUGCUGUCAGCCAGGUGGACCCCAGUGGGCAGGCCUGGAGCCUGAGCAUGGAAGAGCCUGCCUAUGGCUGAAGCGCCUUAGGCUGCAGCUAGUCUUUCUCCCCUCCUUUUUGCCUGAGAAGGAGGGAAACCCCCCCUGCUCCAGAAGGGGUGCCCCUUUCGUCUUCCACAUCUUACUCUCUCUCAGGGACAUCACUCUCCCACCCAGAGGGAGGAAACGGCCGCCAGCAUCUGCUCCUCUGCCCUGGAGGGGGCCUCUCCUUGGCUGGCCUGCACGAGAAAAGCUUUCUCCUGCCUUCAAGAGGCAGGGGGUCUGCAUAAAUAAAGCUUUGGUGGUUUAGCCUC
This is a non-coding RNA of Pogona vitticeps (central bearded dragon), 1020 nucleotides long. NCBI's taxonomy places the organism in Eukaryota, Metazoa, Chordata, Lepidosauria, Squamata, Agamidae. The record is from RefSeq and is a predicted model, not a curated record.